UAAGUAGGUAGUGAAAUCGUGUGGCUCAACCAUACUCACAUUAUCUAAACUGCUAAGCUAGAGUAUAUGAGAGGUAGUUGGAAUUCCUUGUGUAGGAGUGGAAUCCGUAGAUAUAAGGAGGAACACCGAUGGCGUAGGCAGACUACUGGCAUAUUACUGACACUAAGGCACGAAAGCGUGGGGAGCGAACAGGAUUAGAUACCCUGGUAGUCCACGCCGUAAACUAUGGAUGCUA
Molecule: ribosomal RNA, 235 nt
Filed under: uncultured Candidatus Saccharibacteria bacterium
Lineage: Bacteria; Candidatus Saccharimonadota
Description: partial 16S ribosomal RNA
Rfam family: Bacterial small subunit ribosomal RNA
Source: RNAcentral